Molecule: non-coding RNA, 25 nt
Filed under: Mus musculus (house mouse)
Lineage: Eukaryota; Metazoa; Chordata; Mammalia; Rodentia; Muridae
Also listed under: 1 other name
Source: RNAcentral
UUCACAGCAGUUGGGAUGGUGAGGA